This 638-nucleotide small RNA is filed under the name Pongo abelii (Sumatran orangutan). RNAcentral describes it as "processed transcript". Lineage: Eukaryota; Metazoa; Chordata; Mammalia; Primates; Hominidae. The record is from RNAcentral.
GCUAGGAGCGGUUAAGAGACUGCAGCUCCCAGGAUGUACGGUGAUGGCACCCGUUGCGACUGCGCUGCUCUGGGCGUCUAGAGCGGUUCCCCCUUGCGGAGGGGAUCCUGGCUGUUCCCAAAUCUCGCCUAUCUGCGGGGAGCCAGCGUGGCCCGGGCAGCAGAUCUCAACCAGUGAUUGUGGCAUGGCCCCUACCCGAGAUGCCGGCUUCUUGACUUGGGGGGAAGUUUGAUUUUUCACAAAUCUGCAAGAGGCCGGGAGCCUCUCACAGCCGGCUCAGCUUUUUCAGAUUAACUCUAAGUAAUUCAUACUGUACAUUUCUGAAAUUGAAGUACACACAGCUUCAAUUCUGUGCAGGGAGGAUGCAACAGGAGAGAAUAUCCUGGGCACAUCUUUCUGGAGAAUCACUUUUACUACAAGAUUUGUAAGAAACAAAUUUAUUUCCAAGGGUGGACAACAUGGAUGUCUUCACCUGCCAGGGUCAAGGACAAGGGUCUAAAUGGGUGAGGCCUAGAGCCCCAGCCAAUCAGUGGCGCUAGUGUGAAAAUUGUCCAAUCCAGUGCGCAGCUAGAGAGGAAGAGGCGGCCUCUUCGAUAUGGCAAGGCGUUUUUCUCCUAGCUCCUGGGCUUUGAGUCCAG